RNAcentral lists this long non-coding RNA (1107 nucleotides) under Vombatus ursinus (common wombat). Its description in RNAcentral is "lncRNA (ENSVURG00010000583.1)". Lineage: Eukaryota; Metazoa; Chordata; Mammalia; Diprotodontia; Vombatidae. The record is from RNAcentral.
UGCAGUUCGAGCGCUGCGUCCCAAUGUGGGGCAGGGGCGGGAUGGGGACGCGAAAGAGCCGGGGUGGGAGGAGCAGCCCGCGGCCGGGAUGAGAGGAGAGAGCACCGGCUAGGACGGGAGAGGAGGCUCUCUGCUCUUGGCUAGCUCGGGGCUGGCAACACCACCCGGCAACGCUAAGUCCCGUCGGAGUGAAAAGUGUCCUCACUAAAAACAGCGGCCUCCACAGCUCUUGCGGGAAGCCAGGUCAGAUAAGGAAGCAGGAGAGCAGUGGAAGGAGGGUGGUGCAGGGUCCAAAGUUCAUCGCCUGGGAUUCCAGGAGCUACUUGUCUCCUCUCCGGCCUGAGAGCCACCGGGACGAGAUAAAGCAAGCAGAAAACGGAGGGCGCGGGUCCAAGAGAGCCCAACGGACUGGGGGCGCGCCCAUCAUUUAGGACCUGGGGGCGGUGGGCAGGCUUUCGGCCCCAUUUGCUCUGCUCCCUUCAGCCUCAGGUUCUUUGGCUCUCACCAAAAGGCCUGGAAGCAGCCAAGCGCAAAGGCGCAGGAAGUCACCGAGGUUGCACCUGGCCCUGAUUGAUUUAGACGGGUCAAACUGUGGCUUUGCAGCAGACAACUUCACAAGGAAAACUUGAGUUAGGACCCCAGGGACGACAGCGCACAAAUCUCCUGUUCGCACGCUCCUAACCUGCUUCCUCUGGCUUCCCACUGGCAGCUAGCUCGCUUCCCCCGCGUCCGCGUCUCCUUUUUUUUCCUUUGCCUUGACCCAGGCUGUCAGUCAUACGCCGAGGGCGGAGCCUGUCUCUCCACCCCUCAGUCUCCUACUUAGCUGCCCGAGGAGCUGGAUUGGGAGUGGGCUAACAGGGAGUGGACUCCGGUAUUACUUGGGCCACCAGCCUGCCUUGGGGGACCUGAUGAAAGACACUGCUAACCGCUUGUGGGAGCUGGGAGAUUCCAAGCUUUUUGUGAGGAAGAGCUACUUUUUGGUUUCGAAGUUCCAAGAUUUCCUGAUACAGGAGGAGAGAGGAUGUGACAAGCAAGUACCUGAACAAUUUUUUGUGAGUAUUUAGGGGGUAGAGGAGAGAGGAAAAGAGUAAGAAGUGUGUAUGUGUG